RNAcentral lists this ribosomal RNA (432 nucleotides) under uncultured bacterium. Its description in RNAcentral is "bacterial SSU rRNA". It matches the Rfam family "Bacterial small subunit ribosomal RNA", at positions 338 to 784 of the family's 1533-position model. The record is from RNAcentral.
CCUACGGGAGGCAGCAGUGGGGAAUAUUGGGCAAUGGGCGAAAGCCUGACCCAGCAACGCCGCGUGAAGGAAGAAGGCCCUCGGGUUGUAAACUUCUUUUAUCAGGGACGAAUAAAGUGACGGUACCUGAUGAAUAAGCCACGGCUAACUACGUGCCAGCAGCCGCGGUAAUACGUAGGUGGCAAGCGUUAUCCGGAUUUACUGGGUGUAAAGGGCGUGUAGGCGGGACUGCAAGUCAGAUGUGAAAACCAGAGGCUCAACCUCUGGCCUGCAUUUGAAACUGUAGUUCUUGAGUGUUGGAGAGGCAGGCGGAAUUCCGUGUGUAGCGGUGAAAUGCGUAGAUAUACGGAGGAACACCAGUGGCGAAGGCGGCCUGCUGGACAAUAACUGACGCUGAGGCGCGAAAGCGUGGGGAGCAAACAGGAUUAGAUA